Molecule: ribosomal RNA, 254 nt
Filed under: uncultured bacterium
Lineage: Bacteria
Description: partial 16S ribosomal RNA
Rfam family: Bacterial small subunit ribosomal RNA
Source: RNAcentral
UACGUAGGGGCCAAGCGUUGUCCGGAUUUAUUGGGCGUAAAGAGCUCGUAGGCGGUUCGGCAAGUCGGAUGUGAAAUCUCCACGCUUAACGUGGAGGAGCCAUUCGAAACUGCCGUGACUCGAGUCCGGUAGGGGAGUGUGGAAUUCCUGGUGUAGCGGUGAAAUGCGCAGAUAUCAGGAGGAACACCGGUGGCGAAGGCGGGUCUCUGGGCCGAUACUGACGCUGAGGAGCGAAAGCGUGGGGAGCGAACAGG